UACGUAGGGGGCUAGCGUUGUCCGGAAUCAUUGGGCGUAAAGCGCGUGUAGGCGGUUCGGUAAGUCCGCUGUGAAAGUCGGGGGCUCAACCCUCGAAUGCCGGUGGAUACUGUCGAACUAGAGUGCGGAAGAGGCGAGUGGAAUUCCUGGUGUAGCGGUGGAAUGCGCAGAUAUCAGGAGGAACACCCAUAGCGAAGGCAGCUCGCUGGGACGGUACUGACGCUAAGGCGCGAAAGCGUGGGGAGCGAACAGG
RNAcentral lists this ribosomal RNA (253 nucleotides) under uncultured bacterium. RNAcentral describes it as "partial 16S ribosomal RNA". It matches the Rfam family "Bacterial small subunit ribosomal RNA", at positions 524 to 776 of the family's 1533-position model. The record is from RNAcentral.